GGUCGCAUAGCUCAGCUGGGAGAGCACCUGCCUUACAAGCAGGGGGUCAUUGGUUCGAUCCCAAUUGUGACCA
Molecule: transfer RNA, 73 nt
Filed under: Leptotrichia hofstadii
Lineage: Bacteria; Fusobacteriati; Fusobacteriota; Fusobacteriia; Fusobacteriales; Leptotrichiaceae
Also listed under: 1 other name
Description: tRNA-Val
Rfam family: tRNA
About the family: Transfer RNA (tRNA) molecules are approximately 80 nucleotides in length. Their secondary structure includes four short double-helical elements and three loops (D, anti-codon, and T loops).
Source: RNAcentral